CCACAGUUGCUCUGGGGGAAACCUAGUGACAAUGGGUGGGGGGGGAGGUCUCUUCUGGGCCCCACAUGGCUCUGUGAGGGCGCAGCCUGUGCUGAGCCCCUUGGUAGCUGGAAGGCCCCUUAGCUUGCUGAUUGAAGGUGACAAGCAGCUGCCUGCAUCCCCGAGGCCCCUCAAAGCUUAAUGCUGGUAAUGCUGUUGCUGUGUUACAAAUUCGGCGCCCACGCCUUGCAGCCACGCUGGCACCUUCCACUUGCUGCAGUGUUUACCUUGCUGGAGACUUCAACUCUGAAGGCCUCAAUCUCUUUGUCUGGAAAAUGGCCAUUCUGAUGUCACAAAGCUCUUGUAUUGUGAGAAGGGAGUCGGAGGCAAAGUGCCUGGUGCCUGUCUGCCCCACCCCUGAGGAGAAGCCGGCCUGGGGUGGCCCCACAGUGCAAGUGCCUGCAACUGGGAAUUCUCCGAGGUCCAGGAGGUCCCGGGGCUGCAUUCCGAGAAACGGCGGAGGCCUGAACACCGGGUGGUGGGUGGGUCGCUAGGCCCUUGGUGUCCAGGAACCAGUCAUGCAUUUCAGCAUCAGAACUCGGUGCUGCCCAGGCCUACAGCCCGUCUCUAUAGUGGCGAUCACCUCCCGAAGACACAUACUCCCUCAGGCUGGCAUCCCCUUGAUGGCUAAGGCUGUGGAAGUUUCCUGCAAGGUGCUUUCUGGCUCCGGGGAGAUCACGUCAGGUCCUCAUACCUUUUUUAGGUUAGGAACAUGAAAAUCCCCAACUGCGGGGCGUUAACUUCUUACCACGGGGGCCCGUGGAGAAUACCUCUUCCCCUUUUUGGGUCUCUCACUUUUCCACGUGGCCUGUCCCAUCACACACAAACACAGGGCACAGGUUUGGGGCUUCCCAGCCCUGCUCCCCACACAACUGCUCCUACAGAGGGGACUGUCUUGGGGAAUCCCAAGAGUCAAGACCAAACUCUAAGAGUAGCAGUUCUCAAACUUGGCCUUCAUCGCAAUCCCCUGGAGGGCUUGUUAAAACACAGCUGGGAAGAUAAAGAGUUUCUGAGUCAGGAGGCCUGGGGGAAGGAGGGUGAUAAGAAUUUGCAUUUCUAGCCAGUUCCCAGGUGACUUUGAGGCUGCUGAGCAGAAACCACCUGUUGAGAGCUGCUGGGUCUUACAGCAAUCACUGAACGGCCCAGGGCUAAGAAGCAGGGUGCAGCCAGAAGACCCCAUCGCAUGCCUCCAGCACAAGGACUGAAGUGGGUCCAACUCCUCGCUUAGCAUAGAUUAAACUGUCCAGCACACUGGAGCUCGGGACUCAUCUCAGCUUGCCCUGGGCCUGCACUUGCCGGUUAGUCACCCAGCAUCUGUGCUCAGGUGCUACACCGUGCCUGGCCGGGGGACACGAAGCCGGGCGGCAAGAAAAGAAACAGCAAAAGCAGAGAUAGCAGGGCGGCGGCAUCAGAGCCCUUCCAGCAGCAGUACAGAGCAGGGUAAGUGGCCGAUAAGACGCGUAUCAGAGAGGCUGCUCUGCAGAAAGAAGAGCGGGAGCGAAGGAACAGUGCAGAGGGGCUGGGAGACAAGCUGUCAGGGCUGGCCCCAGGCCCUGUGCAGGGCGGCGGGUCCAGGGGAGGUGGCGUGCGAGGUUGGUGCAAUUCUAGGUCGCACUACUGGCAGGCCAGUGCUGCCUGGACUGGGAGCCAGCUGCUUCCCUCCCCUCCAGGCUCCGGAGCUGUGUGACAGUAGCCUGGCCUGGGCUGCGUUUCACCUACGGACGUGUUUUGUUUAGCCCGCUUGAUGUUUCGAGGUUUGGGAAAUUGCACAUGAAAUUCCAGAUGUCUGACUUCUCUGGCUCCCUGGAGCCCAUCUUCCUGCACAGCAGCAACGGGUUCGGUCCGCAGGGCGACAGCGUCUGCAGACAGCACGUGCUCUCGAGUCCUCCACUCCCCACGCCUGCCCUGUUUCUCCCGUUCUGACCUGCCCAGCUACGUGAGCAUCUUUUGGGGAGCUCUCCUCCGUUUCAAGCCUUCUCUGAUGUCUAUUCUGAUUGGCAACCACAGAGACUGCGCCCACUUCUUGAUUGCCCUGUGAACUUGGGCAAACCCGAGCCCUGUGCUGAGUUCCUUAUUUGUGCUGUGGGCUGGGCACAGAAGGGACUGGCUGUGCGGUCUUAAAGAUUUUAGUCUCCAGGGUCCUGGCAAUUCACGUAGGCAAAAAUCUCAGGUGGAAGGAGAAGAACUGCAGGACGUCCGGGAGAGAGAGCUGGUAACCUGGUCUCUAACUCAGAAGAUGGGCGGCCUCAUACUUCAUUAUCCUAACUGGGACACUUCUCAGAGUGAAGGGAAAGGUCUUAAUAAUGACCCUGGAAUAGCAGGUAUAAACCAGGACUGUCUUCAGCAAUCCAAGAUAAACGGUGACCUAUGAAUAAAGAAGAGAAACUGGCCUUACCUCUCGAUGUCUCAGCUGAAAGCUUCUGCCCUCGUGGUAGCAGUUGUAAGUUUUUAGCAAGCUUAAGAGCUCCGACCUAAAAAGGUAAACACACAUAUAAUCUUGGGGCGUGGCAGGCUUUGGGACGUGACGAUACUGGUCUCUCCAGCCACACAUAAUCAGUUUAGAGACUAGACUCUGCCAUCAGACACAUGCCUUUUAGUCUUCUAGAGGUUUCCACAUGACAGACCUUGUGUAAGGUGUAGGGCUGGGAAAAGAAGGAAGUGAGCUCACAGACGGCCCAUAGAAUUGUGCAAAUGGUGUUUGCAUGCUUUCACUAUCACAGAUAAGAGUUCCCGAACAUCUCCCUGUACUUUACUUCUGAGUCAUUUCCUCAAUAAAUCCCCCGGGAUUGGAUUAUUGGCAUUUGAAAGACUCUUGCUUCCCCCCUCGGCUCCCCCCCCCACCAAUAUUACUUCCUGUGAGUGCCUGGUGUGGCUGCUCUGGGGGCAUCAUGAGGGGUGUCUGCCUCUUCCUCAUCCUGGCUUUCUGGAGGUCUGACCAAGAGGUGAAGGUGACAGCUGUGCGAUAAGAUCCCGAAGGUCUGAGGGAGGCCACUCUGCCCAAACUCCUUCUCCCCAGAAUAAAGGGAAGCCUUAGCGGAUAGAAGCCGGUCCCUGCGCCCAAGCUGGGCUCUGCCGGGGAGUGCAGUCCAACAGAUAAGAAAUGCAAGGCACACGUGUGCUUUUAACCCUUCCAGCGGUCACAUCACGAAGGAAAACAAAACAGGUGAAAUUAAUUUUCAUAAUGCAUUUUAUUUUAUGACACAAUAUAUCUAAAAUAUUUUCAUGUCCACAUGUAAUCAAUAUGAACAUGAUGAAUGAGGCCUUAUUCAUUAUUUUAUUUUGUAAUAAGUGUUUGCCACCUGUAUUUCGUAUUAAUAUAUGAACGUUUUACAUAAACGUUAUUAACGAGAUCUUGUUCAUUAUUGUAUUUCGUAAUAUGUCCUUGCCACCUGUCUUUUAUAUUAACUGUACUUCUCCGCCCGUAAGUCACGUGCUUGGCGGCCACACGUGGAAGUCACUCCCCUGCUGGCCGGGGCCGCUUUAGAACCUCUCUGGGCAGUGCCUUCACUGACACUGGAGCACUCCAGGGAGUGGAUAAGCAAAACCCGCCGUUGGUGCCCUGGUGUGCUGCCUGAUGUGGGGAUGACGGUAACUGAUGACGGAAGUGAUUCACCUGUGGUUCAGUUAAUGUUAUGGCAUUAACAUUGCAAGAGUCAAUGCUGCAUAUUCGCUGUGCUUGUAGGUGUAUCAAUGCUGAACAUAAACUUAUUAGGAUAUAUACACCUGAAAUUAAUCACGUUAUGGCUAUUAUUAUGACUUUCCCCAAAACUAUAUUUUUUUGAGAGAGAGAGAAAGAGAGACAGAGAGAGAGAACGAGCAAGCAGGGGAGAGAGGCAGAGAGAGAGAGAGAGAGAGAAUGAGAGAAUCCUAAGCAGGCUGUACCAUCCCAGGACCCUGGGAUCAUGACCUGAGUUGAAGUCAAGAGUUAGCUGCUCAACCAACGGAGCCACCCAGGCGUACCUACUGUUAUUCUCAUUAUAAAAUUUAAACCGGGAAUGUGAGAGUAUGGGCAGCACUGUGAAUGGGAUGCUGUCUGUUUUCUCAGGUGUCUAACUGGAGGACCCAGGAAGCAGCUCAGCAAAAGCUAGGAGGCUGGCUUUUCUUCAAGGAGGCAAAUAGGAGCUGCCCAAAUCUAGAAAAUAUUUGGACCCAGCACGCAAAAAGCAAGAGAAAAAUGAAAACUUACGUUAGUGCAGAAAUACAUUUGAAUAAAUACUCCAAGCAUUUUUUUUUAUGGUAAGACGGAGUAAAUAAAAUUGAAAAUAAGCCAAGCUAAAAACUCAUCAUGUCAAUAAAAUAGGCUUUUUUCAAGAACAA
Molecule: long non-coding RNA, 4356 nt
Organism: Neofelis nebulosa (Clouded leopard)
Lineage: Eukaryota; Metazoa; Chordata; Mammalia; Carnivora; Felidae
Exons: 2
Source: RefSeq, a predicted model, not a curated record